Molecule: long non-coding RNA, 414 nt
Filed under: Homo sapiens (human)
Lineage: Eukaryota; Metazoa; Chordata; Mammalia; Primates; Hominidae
Description: HSALNT0307274
Source: RNAcentral
GGGGCGGGACUUCCGGCUUCCCUGCUCCCACAAAAUGGUAGCCGCCGUGGGGGAUGUCCAGUUUUUUUUCCUCUUCCCAAGUACAGACGCAGAGCAGACUUGUCUUUCCGCUUAACCUCAACCUCGUGUGAUCUGCCAGUUUCGCUCCCGACGCCAAAUUCCAGCGAAACAGCUGAUGCCAGCCAGCUUGAAGACCCCUGCCACAGAAGAAGGGAAUCAGCAUGAGAAUACAGCUUCUUCAUCUCGCUGUCCCAUGACUUCGCCCUGUACUCUUCAGCCAAUUAAUGAUCUCCACACUUGGGACCACUCUAAAACCCUUAAGAACCUGAGACUCAAAGUCCUCCUGGAGACGAAUUUGAGGUUUCCUCCUAUCUGUGUUUGGUGGCCCUAUGAUUAAACCUCUUUCUCUUCUGC